AUUGAACGCUGGCGGCAUGCCUAACACAUGCAAGUCGAACGGCAGCACAGAGGAGCUUGCUCCUUGGGUGGCGAGUGGCGGACGGGUGAGUAAUGCAUCGGGACCUACCCAGACGUGGGGGAUAACGUAGGGAAACUUACGCUAAUACCGCAUACGUCCUACGGGAGAAAGCGGGGGACCUUCGGGCCUCGCGCGGUUGG
RNAcentral lists this ribosomal RNA (200 nucleotides) under uncultured bacterium. Its description in RNAcentral is "partial 16S ribosomal RNA". It matches the Rfam family "Bacterial small subunit ribosomal RNA", at positions 30 to 224 of the family's 1533-position model. The record is from RNAcentral.